Ipomoea triloba (trilobed morning glory) is the source of this 2233-nucleotide long non-coding RNA. RefSeq lists it as uncharacterized. The transcript has 2 exons. The record is from RefSeq and is a predicted model, not a curated record. NCBI's taxonomy places the organism in Eukaryota, Viridiplantae, Streptophyta, Magnoliopsida, Solanales, Convolvulaceae.
AUGGAUUUUCUUAUUUCCCUAAUCUCUUCCCAAUCUCAUUAUCUUAGAUAGAAAAGGGAGAAUGGAAGGGAACUAAUAAAGGAUUUUGUUUUUAAUCUUUUGUUUUCAGAAUUGGGGAGAACCGGAGAAGAGAGCGUGAAAGUGGAGAUGUUGAGCGUUGCAGAAGAUAGGAAGGUAGCGCGGGGAAACGAGAAAAGUUUCUCAGCUUAAUGGCAAUAAACACAUAAAUCUUGUCAGCUGUGUUAUUGAGAAACCGGAAAUAGGCAUGUCUCCAAGAUUUGGACAGCAGCAGGCUUCCCCAAAAUGCCCAGAAUCCUGGAAUGAAACCAGCCCCCAUGCUAGUGAAGAAUGCGACUGUUUCAUCUAGCCAAUCACUUCCAUGAUGUUGGAUUUGGAGAUCAUUAUUAUUGAUACAAUAAGGAUCUUUGGGUAAAGGUGUGGAGCAUUCUGUUGUAAGAGGUGGGCCGCACAAGUAUCUAUUUCCCGUGUAAGAAGAACUGUCAAAUGUGCCAAAUUGCCCCCUUCUAGGAAUUUCUCCAGUCAAAUGGUUGUAGGAGAGGUUAAGAACUUCUAGGGAGUAUAAAUGAUCUGGCAUGUUUGGUGGAAUAGAGCAAGAAAGGUUAUUCCUGGACAAAUCAAGAUAUUCCAAAUUAACUAAGUGAACGAUGCCAGGAGGAAUAGGUCCUGUUAGAUUAUUUUUUGACAAAUCCAAUGCAACCAACCGAACAAGACUGGCAAGUUCCGCUGGAAUCUCACCUGAAAGAAAGUUGUCUGAUAGAUCAAUCACUCCAACUGGGUAGCGUGCUGACAUUGGCAAGCUCAAUGAAAUAUUAUAAUUUUUAAAUAUAAAGGAAACAUGUACAAGAGAAACUGUCAUUAAGAUGGUCUCCAGAGCAUCCUUCUCAUAUGCUGUAAAUGGAUCAUAAAUGUAGGAAGGGGCGUCUUCAACCCCAGCCAUGAUGAGAAAAUUAUUGACACACUUCGGAAUUGUUCCUGUCAAUGAAUUGUUUUGAAGGUCCAAAGCCAUUAGGUACUCAAGUCUGCAAAGUUGAGGAGGGAUGGUUCCACUAAAUUGGUUCCCCAAUAAACUAAGAAGCAUUAGGUCUUUGUAACUUUCCCCAAUCCAUAUUGGUAUAUUUCCAGUUAGCUUAUUUGAACCAACAUCCAAAACAGUCAACUUUCUCAAGUUCUGAAACGAUGAAGGCAGCUCUCCCAUGAAAUUGUUGUUAGCCAGUACUAACAUCUUGAGAUUUUCCAGAUAUCCAAGUGAAUGAGGAAUUUUUCCAAAGAGGAAAUUCUUACCCAAAUUCAAGUAUAUCAGCUCUAUCCCAUUUACCCAGCAGUCAGGGAGUGGUCUUGAUAGAUUAUUCGAAUAUAAAUCUAAGAAACAUAGAGAAUUAUUCUCAACAAGCGAUUUGCAUACAGGGUAAACAGUACCACUGAAAGAAUUCCAUUUUAGAAUAAAAAAUUUCAUCCUUGGGGAAAAAUGUGGCAGAGGUCCUCGGAAAUGGUUCCUACUCAAGUCUAAUACUGAGAGAUUAAAUCUUGACAAAUCUGGCACUUGACCUCUAAGUUGGUUCCAAGAAAGAUUCAUAUGCUCCAUUGCAGGAGAAAGGUCCCAAAACCAGUCAGGUACCUUGUCUGAAAUGCCAGCAUCAGAGAUAUCAAUGUAGGAGAAAGUUUUCUGUGUCCUAAGCCAACUCGGGAAGCGUUGAUCUAGUUUACAAGAUCGUAGGGCUAUAACAUCAAGUUGGAAAGAGGGAAUCCAACUUUGGCUCAUCUCCAGGACAAUUGAGUUAUAAGAUAAAUCCAAUACCCUCAAAUCACUGAAGUUGAGUGACUCUUCAGUAAUUGUGUCAUUCAAGGAAUUAUUAGCAACAUCCAGAACUACUAGUUUCUUAAGGUGCAUGAUGCUUUUGGCUAAAGGACCAUUUAGGUGGUUACCAGAGAAGCGCACUUCUUUCAAAAGUGAUGGCAAUGCAGGCGGUAACUCACCUGUGAGAUUGUUUUCUGAGAGAUCAAGUACUGUGAGUGAGGUCAUGGUCUGGAAUGUCUCUGGAAUUGAACCUUGGAUCUCACUUUUUUUGAGGUUUAGACUAGCAAGACUGCUGAUGUUGAAUAACCAACUUGGUAUUGAAGACCCAAAUUGGUUAUGUGAGAUAUCAAGAAUUUGCAGAGAUGUUAAGUUCAGAAACGGCAGUGUAGGGGGGAUAUGAAGAGAGUAAAGAUAGCA